This 490-nucleotide ribosomal RNA is filed under the name uncultured bacterium. RNAcentral describes it as "partial 16S ribosomal RNA". It matches the Rfam family "Bacterial small subunit ribosomal RNA", at positions 29 to 505 of the family's 1533-position model. The record is from RNAcentral.
AGUGAACGCUGGCGGUAGGCCUAACACAUGCAAGUCGAACGGCAGCACAGUAAGAGCUUGCUCUUACGGGUGGCGAGUGGCGGACGGGUGAGGAAUACAUCGGAAUCUACUUUUUCGUGGGGGAUAACGUAGGGAAACUUACGCUAAUACCGCAUACGACCUACGGGUGAAAGCAGGGGAUCUUCGGACCUUGCGCGAUUGAAUGAGCCGAUGUCGGAUUAGCUAGUUGGCGGGGUAAAGGCCCACCAAGGCGACGAUCCGUAGCUGGUCUGAGAGGAUGAUCAGCCACACUGGAACUGAGACACGGUCCAGACUCCUACGGGAGGCAGCAGUGGGGAAUAGUGGACAAUGGGCGCAAGCCUGAUCCAGCCAUACCGCGUGGGUGAAGAAGGCCUUCGGGUUGUAAAGCCCUUUUGUUGGGAAAGAAAAGCAGCAGGUUAAUACCCCGCUGUUCUGACGGUAACCAAAGAAUAAGCACCGGCUAACUUCG